RNAcentral lists this unclassified non-coding RNA (332 nucleotides) under Athalia rosae (coleseed sawfly). RNAcentral describes it as "misc RNA ENSAEAG00005007487.1". The record is from RNAcentral. Lineage: Eukaryota; Metazoa; Arthropoda; Insecta; Hymenoptera; Athaliidae.
GGAGCUUUUUUCAACUCCCAACAUCGAAAUGUAGUUUCAUUCCGAUAUAUCGACUGAAAAAUGGCUUGCCAGAAUUCGUCGACGCUGUUCGAUUGAUUUUGCGUUUCCAAAUCACAGUUUUUUUUUUUUUUUUCCAUCCUCUCACCCUGUAUAGUCGAUAUGUAUUACAUGUGGUGGUCACCGAGUCAUUUUCUCAUGGGGACUGCUGGGCGAUGACUAGGCACAGUGAGUUCCGCCGCCUUAGCUGGUACGGGCUUUGCCAUAUGAAACGAAUAAUACAAAUAUCUCAUGGUAUAUGUCGACCCAAAACGGCUUGAUCAUUAUCGACGUGG